AGAGCGAACGCUGGCGGCAGGCCUCAAACAUGCAAGUCUAGGGGGUGUAGCAAUACAUCACCGGCGGACGGGUGCGUAACGCGUGGGAAUGUACCUAUUGGUUCGGAACAACUGAGGGAAACUUCAGCUAAUACCGGAUGAGCCCGAAAGGGGAAAGAUUUCUCGCCAAUAGAUCAGCCCGCGUCCGAUUAGCUAGUUGGUGGGGUUAAAGCCUACCAAGGCGACGAUCGGUAGCUGUUCUGAGAGGAAGAUCAGCCACACUGGGACUGAGACACGGCCCAGACUCCUACGGGAGGCAGCAGUUGGGAAUCUUGGACAAUGGGGGAAACCCUGAUCCAGCCAUGCCGCGUGAGUGAUGAAGGCCUUGGGUUGUAAAACUCUUUCGACGGGACGAUAAUGACGGUACCCGUAGAAGAAGCUCCGGCUAACUUCGUGCCAGCAGCCGC
RNAcentral lists this ribosomal RNA (446 nucleotides) under uncultured bacterium. RNAcentral's name for it is "SSU rRNA". It matches the Rfam family "Bacterial small subunit ribosomal RNA", at positions 26 to 518 of the family's 1533-position model. The record is from RNAcentral.